This 433-nucleotide ribosomal RNA is filed under the name uncultured bacterium. RNAcentral's name for it is "partial 16S ribosomal RNA". It matches the Rfam family "Bacterial small subunit ribosomal RNA", at positions 29 to 507 of the family's 1533-position model. The record is from RNAcentral.
AACGAACGCUGGCGGCAUGCCUAACACAUGCAAGUCGAACGAGACCUUCGGGUCUAGUGGCGCACGGGUGCGUAACGCGUGGGAACCUGCCUUUAGGUUCGGAAUAACUCAGAGAAAUUUGAGCUAAUACCGGAUGAUGUCUUCGGACCAAAGAUUUAUCGCCUUUAGAUGGGCCCGCGUUGGAUUAGCUAGUUGGUGGGGUAAAGGCCUACCAAGGCGACGAUCCAUAGCUGGUCUGAGAGGAUGAUCAGCCACACUGGGACUGAGACACGGCCCAGACUCCUACGGGAGGCAGCAGUGGGGAAUAUUGGACAAUGGGCGAAAGCCUGAUCCAGCAAUGCCGCGUGAGUGAUGAAGGCCCUAGGGUUGUAAAGCUCUUUUACCCGAGAUGAUAAUGACAGUAGCGGGAGAAUAAGCUCCGGCUAACUCCGUG